AAAGAAAUAAUUAAUUUUAAGCUUCUAACUUAAAUAAGAGCAAUAAUAUGUUUAU
RNAcentral lists this transfer RNA (55 nucleotides) under Xylometanoeus japonicus. Its description in RNAcentral is "tRNA-Ser". Lineage: Eukaryota; Metazoa; Arthropoda; Insecta; Coleoptera; Lycidae. The record is from RNAcentral.